UAGUGGUAGUGACUGGUUAUAGUUAUAGUAGUGGUAGUGUCUACAGUAGUAAUGGUAGUGACUGGUUAUAGUAGUGGUAGUGUCUGCAGUAGUAAUGGUAGUGACUGGUUAUAGUUAUAGUAGUGGUAGUGUCUACAGUAGUAAUGGUAGUGACUGGUUAUAGUUAUAGUAGUGGUAGUGACUGGUUAUAGUAGUGGUAGUGACUGGUUAUAGUAGUGGUAGUGACUGGUUAUAGUAGUGGUAGUGACUGGUUAUAGUAGUGGUAGUGACUGGUUAUAGAAGUGGUAGUGACUGGUUAUAGU
Oncorhynchus tshawytscha (Chinook salmon) is the source of this 302-nucleotide long non-coding RNA. The record is from Ensembl. Lineage: Eukaryota; Metazoa; Chordata; Actinopteri; Salmoniformes; Salmonidae.